This 494-nucleotide ribosomal RNA is filed under the name uncultured bacterium. RNAcentral describes it as "bacterial SSU rRNA". It matches the Rfam family "Bacterial small subunit ribosomal RNA", at positions 28 to 534 of the family's 1533-position model. The record is from RNAcentral.
GACGAACGCUGGCGGCGUGCUUAACACAUGCAAGUCGAACGGUGACGAGGAGCUUGCUCCUCCGAUCAGUGGCGAACGGGUGAGUAACACGUGAGUAACCUGCCCCAGACUCUGGGAUAACAGUUGGAAACAGCUGCUAAUACCGGAUACGAGACGGAGAGGCAUCUCUACCGUCUGGAAAGUUUUUCGGUCUGGGAUGGACUCGCGGCCUAUCAGCUUGUUGGUGAGGUAAUGGCUCACCAAGGCGACGACGGGUAGCCGGCCUGAGAGGGCGACCGGCCACACUGGGACUGAGACACGGCCCAGACUCCUACGGGAGGCAGCAGUGGGGAAUAUUGCACAAUGGGCGAAAGCCUGAUGCAGCGACGCCGCGUGAGGGAUGACGGCCUCGGUUGUCGAACCUCUUCUAGCAGGAAGAAGACGAAGUAGACGGUACCUGCAGAAGAAGCACCGGCGUAACUACGUAGCCAGCAGCCGCGGUAAACGUAGACGUA